GAUGAACGCUAGCUACAGGCUUAACACAUGCAAGCCGAGGGGCAGCAUGGUCUUAGCUUGCUAAGGCCGAUGGCGACCGGCGCACGGGUGAGUAACACGUAUCCAACCUGCCGUCUACUCUUGGACAGCCUUCUGAAAGGAAGAUUAAUACAAGAUGGCAUCAUGAGUCCGCAUGUUCACAUGAUUAAAGGUAUUCCGGUAGACGAUGGGGAUGCGUUCCAUUAGAUAGUAGGCGGGGUAACGGCCCACCUAGUCUUCGAUGGAUAGGGGUUCUGAGAGGAAGGUCCCCCACAUUGGAACUGAGACACGGUCCAAACUCCUACGGGAGGCAGCAGUGAGGAAUAUUGGUCAAUGGGCGAGAGCCUGAACCAGCCAAGUAGCGUGAAGGAUGACUGCCCUAUGGGUUGUAAACUUCUUUUAUAAAGGAAUAAAGUCGGGUAUGGAUACCCGUUUGCAUGUACUUUAUGAAUAAGGAUCGGCUAACUCCGUGCCAGCAGCCGCGGUAAUACGGAGGAUCCGAGCGUUAUCCGGAUUUAUUGGGUUUAAAGGGAGCGUAGAUGGAUGUUUAAGUCAGUUGUGAAAGUUUGCGGCUCAACCGUAAAAUUGCAGUUGAUACUGGAUAUCUUGAGUGCAGUUGAGGCAGGCGGAAUUCGUGGUGUAGCGGUGAAAUGCUUAGAUAUCACGAAGAACUCCGAUUGCGAAGGCAGCCUGCUAAGCUGCAACUGACAUUGAGGCUCGAAAGUGUGGGUAUCAAACAGGAUUAGAUACCCUGGUAGUCCACACGGUAAACGAUGAAUACUCGCUGUUUGCGAUAUACUGCAAGCGGCCAAGCGAAAGCGUUAAGUAUUCCACCUGGGGAGUACGCCGGCAACGGUGAAACUCAAAGGAAUUGGCGGGGGCCCGCACAAGCGGAGGAACAUGUGGUUUAAUUCGAUGAUACGCGAGGAACCUUACCCGGGCUUAAAUUGCAGAUGAAUUACGGUGAAAGCCGUAAGCCGCAAGGCAUCUGUGAAGGUGCUGCAUGGUUGUCGUCAGCUCGUGCCGUGAGGUGUCGGCUUAAGUGCCAUAACGAGCGCAACCCUUGUUGUCAGUUACUAACAGGUUCCGCUGAGGACUCUGACAAGACUGCCAUCGUAAGAUGUGAGGAAGGUGGGGAUGACGUCAAAUCAGCACGGCCCUUACGUCCGGGGCUACACACGUGUUACAAUGGGGGGUACAGAGGGCCGCUACCACGCGAGUGGAUGCCAAUCCCCAAAACCUCUCUCAGUUCGGACUGGAGUCUGCAACCCGACUCCACGAAGCUGGAUUCGCUAGUAAUCGCGCAUCAGCCACGGCGCGGUGAAUACGUUCCCGGGCCU
RNAcentral lists this ribosomal RNA (1358 nucleotides) under uncultured bacterium. Its description in RNAcentral is "bacterial SSU rRNA". It matches the Rfam family "Bacterial small subunit ribosomal RNA", at positions 28 to 1381 of the family's 1533-position model. The record is from RNAcentral.